This 2126-nucleotide long non-coding RNA is filed under the name Homo sapiens (human). RNAcentral describes it as "non-protein coding lnc-TMTC3-13:2". The record is from RNAcentral. Lineage: Eukaryota; Metazoa; Chordata; Mammalia; Primates; Hominidae.
UUAGCACAGUUAUCAGAAUGGACCCAGCUACAUUUCUGAUUUCUCCCUACUGGUCACCUUUGGAACACGCUGUUCUCCAGCCACAGCAAACUGAUACAACAAUGCAUAUUGGGCACUUAACUGCAUGAUGGGUACCGUCUUGUUUCUGUGUUUACUUGCAUAAUUUCGGACAGUCUUCAGAAAAAACAUGUAAAUUAUCCCAUUUACAAAGAUUAAAGAAUUUGCCCAAGGGCACACAGUAGCAACAGAGUGUCAAGACGUGAGGCCAAACCCUUUACAGACUCUUAAGGAUGCCCACAUGCACGGAUUACAUAGAGUGUUAUGGACACUAUAUUCACCUCCACGUGGUAUUCCCUGCCCACAUGUGAAGAAUUUCAAGGUCAGCAUUUUGAAUUUUGACCUCCAGGCUUUCUCCAGCCUCACGUUUUCUGUUGCAUCCUCCAUGUCAAAGAUCAAAAGCGAGGCUGCUUUCCCUGCUCCUUUUACACACCAGUGGUUUUCUUUGCACGCAACCCUUCAUCAGUCAAACAUUCACUAAAUGUUGCAUAUUUUAUCUCUCUUAGAAUAUGCCCUAGAUCCUAAUCUUCACAAGUGUCAUUGGUUAUCUAGUGCGUCAGCACAGCACAUAAGCCUAGGUUCAAACCUCUGUCACUCAGUAGUAGUCUGGGCCUCACUUCAUUCAUUCAUUGAUGCAUUUAUUCUAGAUUCCAGGAAAGCAGUAGAGAAUAAACAGACAACAAUAACCUGCCUCACUGAAGUUUACAUUCUAAUGAGGACAGUCCAAUUAACAAAACAAAUAAUUAUAUAUUAGAAAGUGAAAGCGCUAUAGAGAAAAAGCAAGAAAAGGAAUUCGGAAGUGUGUAACAUUGGGAAUAUAUAUUCCUCCCUCAAAGGACUGUGAGGAUUAGACACAACUGAGAUGACACACGAGAAGUGUAGGGCACAAAGUCGGUAUUCAGAAGAUGAUUUUUAAAAUAUCACCACUUCAUUCCUGCAUAAGGAAUGCUGUUGGUGGUGAUAUUGCCAUUCCUGUGAGGCACUGAGGAAAAGCUCUCUUAGGAGAUAAGGGCUGUAGUAGUUGGAAGAAUUACAGGCUUCCUUAAUUCCAGAGGCCUCAGUGCCCUUCAGAGGAUAUCAUUCAUAUGAAGAGGUCUGUAUUUAAAAAUUGGAGAUAGCAGAUCAUCUGUGAUCCAUUCUCAUGAGUGCAGAGAAGCACUCUGAGCAUGAGAGCCACUCUUCUGUGACUGGAAGGAAACUUCCAUUCAUGGACAGAUGAGAAAGCCUGUGCUAGAAGCCACCUUGUAGAAACAUACCCAGGUUUGAGUAAACAGACACCUGCUUAGCACAGUUUCCAUACUAAUUUUUGCACAUAUAUGAUUCCAAGAUUAUUUUUAUUAAACAUCCGAUAAGUAUAUAUCCUUUGGUAUAAAUCCAUCAGGUUUUGCUGGACCUACCAGAAGUUUUAGAUUCCUUACCCAAACCUCCAAAGUGUAAACCUGGCCGGGCAUGGUGGCUCACGCCUGUAAUCCCAGCAUUUUUGGGAGGCCAAGGCAGGCAGAUUUUCUUUAGGUGAAGUCAUCAUAGAUAUUUAUACAGGGGUGUGACAUGAUUUCAGGAUAUAAUUCUGUAACAAAGGGGGCGAGUAGACUGGAAGGGAGAGAGAAACUGGGGGCAGGAAAACCAAUUAGGAAGCGAUUGCAAUUGUCCAGAAAAAGGAUGCAGUACCACCACGAUCAUCCUCUUCCUAAAAUAAUGUAUUCAUCAACCUGCUUAGUUUUAUUCCUCCUAUUUCUGCAGCUAGAAAAAUCACUUAGCCCUCUUGUGACUCAGAAUUUCUCCCUAUUAAUAGAAGAUGACAGAAUACUUAUCUCACCUCACACAGGGAGAUACUGAGAGAUGCUUGCAAUUGUAGCCACGAAAGAGGGGGAAAUGUUAUUCCAAAUGCCAGUGGCAGUAAUUACUCUGGAGUAGUGAGGGGAGGGACACUGCCUUUCCUCACUAACAGUCCAUUAUAAAAAUUUCAAACCUAUAGAAAAGUUGAAAGUUGAGUAAGAGCAUCAGAAAUACUCUUUGGAGGGAAGCUUCUGCAGAAAUUCCAAGUACUCACCACCCAGGAAGUGGCAUUU